This 311-nucleotide ribosomal RNA is filed under the name uncultured bacterium. RNAcentral describes it as "bacterial SSU rRNA". It matches the Rfam family "Bacterial small subunit ribosomal RNA", at positions 774 to 1082 of the family's 1533-position model. The record is from RNAcentral.
AGUAAAUAGAUACCCAGGUAGUCCACGCCGUAAACGAUGAGUACUAGGUGUAGGAGGUAUCGACUCCUUCUGUGCCGCAGUUAAACACAAUAAGUACUCCGCCUGGGAAGUACGGUCGCAAGAUUAAAACUCAAAGGAAUUGACGGGGGCCCGCACAAGCAGCGGAGCAUGUGGUUUAAUUCGAAGCAACGCGAAGAACCUUACCUAGACUUGACAUCUCCUGAAUAGUGUAGAGAUACAUGAAGCCCUUCGGGGCAGGAAGACAGGUGGUGCAUGGUUGUCGUCAGCUCGUGUCGUGAGACUGGUUAGUA